UUAUGCCUACGGGGCGCAGCAGUGGGGGAUAUUGCACAAUGGGGGGAACCCUGAUGCAGCGACGCCGCGUGGGUGAAGAAGUAUUUCGGUAUGUAAAGCCCUAUCGGCAGGGAAGAAAUUGGACGGUACCUGACUAAGAAGCCCCGGCUAACUACGUGCCAGCAGCCGCGGUAAUACGGAGGGGGCAAGCGUUAUCCGGAUUUACUGGGUGUAAAUGGAGCGUAGACGGCCAGAAAAGUCUGAAGUGAAAAUCCAGCGCUUAACGUUGGAAGUGCUUUGGAAAC
Molecule: ribosomal RNA, 284 nt
Filed under: uncultured bacterium
Lineage: Bacteria
Description: partial 16S ribosomal RNA
Rfam family: Bacterial small subunit ribosomal RNA
Source: RNAcentral